This is a long non-coding RNA of Rhipicephalus microplus (southern cattle tick), 402 nucleotides long. NCBI's taxonomy places the organism in Eukaryota, Metazoa, Arthropoda, Arachnida, Ixodida, Ixodidae. The record is from RefSeq and is a predicted model, not a curated record.
GACGUGAAAAGAGACUGCGGUUGCUCUCGCUCCCGCUUGAAUGCACUGCCAGCAGGAGCCAGAGCGCGCAGCAAAAUUUGAACACGAAAUAAUAGCAAGAGGAGUGAAAAGUGACGAACACGAUCCGCACCACACCCAUGACUCCGCCGAGCGAAGAAGCAGCAAUGGCGCGGAUGCAUACGCUCCAGACUUGACAGUGGAGCCUCUUGUUCUUCCCGGCGGCAUGAUCAUAGAACUCAAGCCAAGUUUCUGGACUUGAAGACACACUGUUGAAGCUGAAGAGCUUUUGAAAUGAGGCCCCCUGUUCUGUCAAAGUCCGCGAUCCUGAGUCUUUUCGACGCACUGGUUCAAGAAAUUGGUCUUGUAUGGUCGCUAAAUGCAAGUUAACUUUCACGCCACCUG